AGAAGGACGCAGGCAGCAAAGAGUAGUCAGUCCCUUCUUGGCUCUGCUGACACUCGAGCCCACAUUCCAUCACCUGCUCCCAAUCAUGCAGGUCUCCACUGCUGCCCUUGCCGUCCUCCUCUGCACCAUGGCUCUCUGCAACCAGGUCCUCUCUGCACCACGUGAGUCCAUGUUGUUGUUGUGGGUAUCACCACUCUCUGGCCAUGGUUAGACCACAUCAGUCUUUUUUUGCGGCCUGAGAGCCCCGAAGAGAAAAGAAGGAAGUUCUUAAAGCGCUGCCAAACACCUUGGUCUUUUUCUUCACAACUUUUAUUUUUAUCUCUAGAAGGGGUCUUAGCCCUCCUAGUCUCCAGUUGCUGCUGACACGCCGACCGCCUGCUGCUUCAGCUACACCUCCCGACAGAUUCCACAGAAUUUCAUAGCUGACUACUUUGAGACGAGCAGCCAGUGCUCCAAGCCCAGUGUCAUCUUCCUAACCAAGAGAGGCCGGCAGGUCUGUGCUGACCCCAGUGAGGAGUGGGUCCAGAAAUACGUCAGUGACCUGGAGCUGAGUGCCUGAGGGGUCCAGAAGCUUCGAGGCCCAGCGACCUCAGUGGGCCCAGUGGGGAGGAGCAGGAGCCUGAGCCUUGGGAACAUGCGUGUGACCUCUACAGCUACCUCUUCUAUGGACUGGUUAUUGCCAAACAGCCACACUGUGGGACUCUUCUUAACUUAAAUUUUAAUUUAUUUAUACUAUUUAGUUUUUAUAAUUUAUUUUUGAUUUCACAGUGUGUUUGUGAUUGUUUGCUCUGAGAGUUCCCCCUGUCCCCUCCACCUUCCCUCACAGUGUGUCUGGUGACAACCGAGUGGCUGUCAUCGGCCUGUGUAGGCAGUCAUGGCACCAAAGCCACCAGACUGACAAAUGUGUAUCAGAUGCUUUUGUUCAGGGCUGUGAUCGGCCUGGGGAAAUAAUAAAGAUGUUCUUUUAAACGGUAAA
Homo sapiens (human) is the source of this 976-nucleotide RNA transcript. It is a transcript of the gene named C-C motif chemokine ligand 3 like 1, with no coding region annotated. The record is from RefSeq and is marked reviewed. The transcript has 3 exons. NCBI's taxonomy places the organism in Eukaryota, Metazoa, Chordata, Mammalia, Primates, Hominidae.